UCCGGUUUAUCACCGGCAGUCUCCCUAGAGUCCCCACCUUUACGUGCUGGUAACUAGGAACAGGGGUUGCGCUCGUUACGGGACUUAACCCAACAUCUCACAACACGAGCUGACGACAGCCAUGCAGCACCUGUGUCACGGCUCCCUUUCGGGCACUCCAGCAUCUCUGCCAGAUUCCGUGCAUGUCAAAAGUAGGUAAGGUUCUUCGCGUUGCAUCGAAUUAAACCACAUGCUCCACCGCUUGUGCGGGCCCCCGUCAAUUCCUUUGAGUUUUAGCCUUGCGGCCGUACUCCCCAGGCGGAAAACUUAUCGCGUUGGCUGCGCUACUAACAAGCAUUCGCUCGCUAACAGCUAGUUCUCAUCGUUUACAGCGUGGACUAC
Molecule: unclassified non-coding RNA, 381 nt
Filed under: uncultured Gammaproteobacteria bacterium
Lineage: Bacteria; Pseudomonadati; Pseudomonadota; Gammaproteobacteria
Description: contains 16S-23S intergenic spacer region
Source: RNAcentral